UUCCGUUAAUUGAUUAUGACGUACUUGUACUGAUUGAGAUUUUAACACGAAGUGAGUGGCGAACGGGUGAGUAACACGUGGGUAACCUGCCCAGAAGUAGGGGAUAACACCUGGAAACAGAUGCUAAUACCGUAUAACAGAGAAAACCGCAUGGUUUUCUUUUAAAAGAUGGCUCUGCUAUCACUUCUGGAUGGACCCGCGGCGUAUUAGCUAGUUGGUGAGGUAAAGGCUCACCAAGGCAGUGAUACGUAGCCGACCUGAGAGGGUAAUCGGCCACAUUGGGACUGAGACACGGCCCAGACUCCUACGGGAGGCAGCAGUAGGGAAUCUUCCACAAUGGACGCAAGUCUGAUGGAGCAACGCCGCGUGAGUGAAGAAGGGUUUCGGCUCGUAAAGCUCUGUUGUUAAAGAAGAACGUGGGUAAGAGUAACUGUUUACCCAGUGACGGUAUUUAACCAGAAAGCCACGGCUAACUACGUGCCAGCAGCCGCGGUAAUACGUAGGUGGCAAGCGUUAUCCGGAUUUAUUGGGCGUAAAGCGAGCGCAGGCGGUCUUUUAAGUCUAAUGUGAAAGCCUUCGGCUCAACCGAAGAAGUGCAUUGGAAACUGGGAGACUUGAGUGCAGAAGAGGACAGUGGAACUCCAUGUGUAGCGGUGAAAUGCGUAGAUAUAUGGAAGAACACCAGUGGCGAAGGCGGCUGUCUGGUCUGCAACUGACGCUGAGGCUCGAAAGCAUGGGUAGCGAACAGGAUUAGAUACCCUGGUAGUCCAUGCCGUAAACGAUGAUUACUAAGUGUUGGAGGGUUUCCGCCCUUCAGUGCUGCAGCUAACGCAUUAAGUAAUCCGCCUGGGGAGUACGACCGCAAGGUUGAAACUCAAAAGAAUUGACGGGGGCCCGCACAAGCGGUGGAGCAUGUGGUUUAAUUCGAAGCUACGCGAAGAACCUUACCAGGUCUUGACAUCUUCUGACAGUCUAAGAGAUUAGAGGUUCCCUUCGGGGACAGAAUGACAGGUGGUGCAUGGUUGUCGUCAGCUCGUGUCGUGAGAUGUUGGGUUAAGUCCCGCAACGAGCGCAACCCUUAUUACUAGUUGCCAGCAUUAAGUUGGGCACUCUAGUGAGACUGCCGGUGACAAACCGGAGGAAGGUGGGGACGACGUCAAAUCAUCAUGCCCCUUAUGACCUGGGCUACACACGUGCUACAAUGGAUGGUACAACGAGUCGCGAGACCGCGAGGUUAAGCUAAUCUCUUAAAACCAUUCUCAGUUCGGACUGUAGGCUGCAACUCGCCUACACGAAGUCGGAAUCGCUAGUAAUCGCGGAUCAGCAUGCCGCGGUGAAUACGUUCCCGGGCCUUGUACACACCGCCCGUCACACCAUGAGAGUUUGUAACACCCAAAGCCGGUGGGGU
Molecule: ribosomal RNA, 1408 nt
Filed under: Pediococcus pentosaceus
Lineage: Bacteria; Bacillati; Bacillota; Bacilli; Lactobacillales; Lactobacillaceae
Description: bacterial SSU rRNA
Rfam family: Bacterial small subunit ribosomal RNA
Source: RNAcentral